UGGCAGUGUAUGUUGGCUGCUUGAAGUUCUGACAGCAGCUAACAUGCUGCUGCUCUC
This 57-nucleotide microRNA precursor is filed under the name Taeniopygia guttata (zebra finch). RNAcentral's name for it is "Tgu-Mir-34-P3c_pre stem-loop". The record is from RNAcentral. Lineage: Eukaryota; Metazoa; Chordata; Aves; Passeriformes; Estrildidae.